AAACAUGUCUUUUUGAAUUAAAUUUAAAGUCUGACCUGCCCACUGAAUAAUUUUAAAUGGCCGCAGUAUUUUGACUGUGCAAAGGUAGCAUAAUCAUUAGUCUUUUAAUUGGAGGCUGGUAUGAACGGUUGGACGAAGUAUAAGCUGUUUCAUAUAAAUUUAUAAUAGAAUUUUAUAUUUUAGUUAAAAAGCUAAAAUUUUAUUAAAAGACGAGAAGACCCUAUAAAUCUUUAUAUUUAAUAUAAACUAAAUUUUUUUGAUUUAUUUUAUUUUUUUUAUAUUAAUUAUUUUGUUGGGGUGAUAUUAAAAUUUAAUGAACUUUUAAUUUUUUUAAAUCAUUAAUUUAUGAAUUAUUGAUCCAUUAAUAUUGAUUAUAAGAUUAAGUUACUUUAGGGAUAACAGCGUAAUUUUUUUUGAGAGUUCAUAUCGACAAAAAAGUUUGCGACCUCGAUGUUGGAUUAAGGUAUAAUUUUGGGUGUAGCCGUUCAAAAAUUAAGUCUGUUCGACUUUUAAAUCCUUACAUGAUC
RNAcentral lists this ribosomal RNA (527 nucleotides) under Anastrepha fraterculus. Its description in RNAcentral is "partial small subunit ribosomal RNA". The stretch from base 395 to 527 matches the Rfam family "Bacterial large subunit ribosomal RNA", at positions 2473 to 2605 of the family's 2925-position model. Lineage: Eukaryota; Metazoa; Arthropoda; Insecta; Diptera; Tephritidae. The record is from RNAcentral.